UUCCUCCUGGGUACAACUCUGC
Molecule: microRNA, 22 nt
Filed under: Gallus gallus (chicken)
Lineage: Eukaryota; Metazoa; Chordata; Aves; Galliformes; Phasianidae
Description: gga-miR-1680-5p
Source: miRBase by way of RNAcentral